CCCUUAGAUGUCCGGGGCUGCACGCGCGCUACACUGAAGGAAUCAGCGUGCUAAAACCAUUGUCGAAAGGCAUUGGUAAACCCAUUAAAAUCCUACGUGAUUGGGAUCGGGAAUUGCAAUUAUUUCCCUUGAACGAGGAAUUCCCAGUAAGUGUGGGUCAUAAGCUCGCGUUGCUUACGUCCCUGCCCUUUGUACACACCGCCCGUCGCUGCCCGGGACUGAGCCGUUUCGAGAAAAGCGGGGACUGCUGCUGUCGGGGCUUUCGGGCCUUGGCUUCGGUGGAAACCGCUUUAAUCGCAGUGGCUUGAACCGGGCAAAAGUCGUAACA
This 328-nucleotide ribosomal RNA is filed under the name uncultured eukaryote. Its description in RNAcentral is "partial 18S ribosomal RNA". It matches the Rfam family "Eukaryotic small subunit ribosomal RNA", at positions 1470 to 1796 of the family's 1831-position model. The record is from RNAcentral.